AUGAAGAACUCUCUAUUGCAAAUAAAUAUUUACUGUAAUAAUCAUUAUCAUUCGCAAAAGAUUCGCAUAAAAAAAAGAUCUUUCAGAAAUAAUAUAAAUAGAUAAUAAGACCAAUCGUUUGCAAUAUAAGAUACGGCGAAUAUCUGUAUAUAAGACGGUGGUAUGCAACAAAAUGCGUGAGCUUUGCAAAAUGAAUGGAUGUUGUAUCAGCAAUUUCAGUAAGGUUGCACGUCGUUCGUAGCCUCAUCGAAGACAGUCGUUCGUGUUCUUAACGAAAUUUAAGAUCGAUCGAUCAUUGACUUUUAUACAAAAAAAAAAAAAUAGAGUAAUUCUUGCAUGGUGCAUCCAUUAUGGUAAAGUCAAAAAGCCGAUGACAAAAGGGCGUUGAAUUUCAUGUCAUGGAGGAACAGUCAGCUCUCUAUGAUUCACGUGGAUGAGUUUUCAGCAAAAACCUUACUGUGAUAGCAUAGUAAUGCGAUUCCAAUGUUGAACAUCUUUCAAUAGAAAUCGAUCGGUACCUUGUUUUUAAAAUCAUGCGCGCCCGUUGUUGCUCCAUCACGUUCGCAUAAUUAUCGUUACCGCUUUUAACCAAUAUUUAUAACUUGACUGUCGCUUCACUAUUAAAAUCUAGUAAUCUAAAGCAUACAAUAUGUCUGGUUCAUAUAUAUACAUGACUCAUUUUUGAACUCCGAAAAAUAUGAGAAAAUUAUUCGUCUAAACAUUACUCGAUUUGAAUA
Apis florea (little honeybee) is the source of this 737-nucleotide long non-coding RNA. The record is from RefSeq and is a predicted model, not a curated record. NCBI's taxonomy places the organism in Eukaryota, Metazoa, Arthropoda, Insecta, Hymenoptera, Apidae.